Molecule: long non-coding RNA, 477 nt
Filed under: Brassica rapa (field mustard)
Lineage: Eukaryota; Viridiplantae; Streptophyta; Magnoliopsida; Brassicales; Brassicaceae
Description: long non-coding RNA (BRAP_LNC006267)
Source: RNAcentral
GUGAUACUAGAUUCUGUUUUUUUUUUUGGUUUUUGAUUUUUUUUUUUAAUUUUUGAUUUAUUAAUACUUAACUUAUUAAAUUUUUGUGAAACUAGAAAAUAUCUCAUAGACCACUUAAAAUGUUUUUGACCUUAACUAAAAUAUUGUAAGUUAGUUUGAAAUAUAAUUAAGAGAUAGAGAGGUAUGCCUUUAGAUUUGUAUAUGUUAGGUUUUGGUAUGAGUGGGGCUUCUUAGAUAAGUAACAUAUAUUUUAGUUUCUCUAAAGUUUGAUUAGUUAUUUAUUUAAUUUCAAAGUUAUUUACUAUUUUCAGAACUUCACUUAUAAGUUAAUUUCUUUUUAAACAAACUUAAAAUUACUAAAAUAAAUAUCAUUUUAAUAAAUAAUACCAAUAAUAGGAUUAAUUUUGAAAAUUUAACAAGUUAAGUAUUAAUAAAUAAUUUUUAAAAAAAAAUCAAAAACCAAAAACCAGAAUCUAG